GUAAGGGACCGGAGAGUAGGAAAAGCAGGGCCCAGGGCCAGAGACUGGGGAUAGAGCUAAGGAGGAUGGUGUCCUCCUGACUGCAUCUCUCUUUCCUCUCCCACCCCUUGCAG
RNAcentral lists this microRNA precursor (113 nucleotides) under Nomascus leucogenys (northern white-cheeked gibbon). RNAcentral's name for it is "miRNA (ENSNLEG00000036208.1)". Lineage: Eukaryota; Metazoa; Chordata; Mammalia; Primates; Hylobatidae. The record is from RNAcentral.